Loxodonta africana (African savanna elephant) is the source of this 81-nucleotide microRNA precursor. Lineage: Eukaryota; Metazoa; Chordata; Mammalia; Proboscidea; Elephantidae. The record is from Ensembl.
AAGGCUUUCCCACACUCGUUACACUGAUGACUUUUCGAGUGACUGUGGAUUCUCUGAUGGUGGGUGAGGAGCAGGGCCUGA